Molecule: ribosomal RNA, 440 nt
Filed under: uncultured bacterium
Lineage: Bacteria
Description: partial 16S ribosomal RNA
Rfam family: Bacterial small subunit ribosomal RNA
Source: RNAcentral
CCUACGGGUGGCUGCAGUGGGGAAUAUUGGACAAUGGGCGCAAGCCUGAUCCAGCCAUGCCGCGUGAGUGAUGAAGGCCUUAGGGUUGUAAAGCUCUUUUAUCCGGGACGAUAAUGACGGUACCGGAGGAAUAAGCCCCGGCUAACUUCGUGCCAGCAGCCGCGGUAAUACGAAGGGGGCUAGCGUUGCUCGGAAUCACUGGGCGUAAAGGGCGCGUAGGCGGCGUUUUAAGUCGGGGGUGAAAGCCUGUGGCUCAACCACAGAAUGGCCUUCGAUACUGGGACGCUUGAGUAUGGUAGAGGUUGGUGGAACUGCGAGUGUAGAGGUGAAAUUCGUAGAUAUUCGCAAGAACACCGGUGGCGAAGGCGGCCAACUGGACCAUUACUGACGCUGAGGCGCGAAAGCGUGGGGAGCAAACAGGAUUAGAUACCCCGGUAGUC